This 468-nucleotide ribosomal RNA is filed under the name uncultured bacterium. RNAcentral describes it as "partial 16S ribosomal RNA". It matches the Rfam family "Bacterial small subunit ribosomal RNA", at positions 28 to 507 of the family's 1533-position model. The record is from RNAcentral.
GACGAACGCUGGCGGCGUGCUUAACACAUGCAAGUCGAACGGAAAGGCCCUGCUUUUGUGGGGUGCUCGAGUGGCGAACGGGUGAGUAACACGUGAGUAACCUGCCCUUGACUGUGGGAUAACUUCAGGAAACUGGGGCUAAUACCGGAUAGGAGCUCCUGCUGCAUGGUGGGGGUUGGAAAGUUUCGGCGGUUGGGGAUGGACUCGCGGCUUAUCAGCUUGUUGGUGGGGUAGUGGCUUACCAAGGCUUUGACGGGUAGCCGGCCUGAGAGGGUGACCGGCCACAUUGGGACUGAGAUACGGACCAGACUCCUACGGGAGGCAGCAGUGGGGAAUAUUGCACAAUGGGCGGAAGCCUGAUGCAGCAACGCCGCGUGCGGGAUGACGGCCUUCGGGUUGUAAACCGCUUUCGCCUGUGACGAAGCGUGAGUGACGGUAAUGGGUAAAGAAGCACCGGCUAACUACGUG